CAGUCGAGCGGUAACAGGCGUAGCAAUACGUGCUGACGAGCGGCGAACGGGUGAGCAAUGCUUCGGAAUCUGCCCAAUGAUGGGGAAUAACCAGUCGAAAGAUUGGCUAAUACCGCAUACGCCCUACGGGGGAAAGCGGGGGUCGCAAGACCUCGCGUCGAUGGAUGAGCCGAAGUCGGAUUAGCUAGUUGGUAGGGUAACGGCCUACCAAGGCGACGAUCCGUAGCUGGUCUGAGAGGACGACCAGCCACACUGGGACUGAGACGCGGCCCAGACUCCUACGGGAGGCAGCAGUGGGGAAUAUUGGACAAUGGGGGCAACCCUGAUCCAGCGACGCCGCGUGUGUGAAGAAGGCCUGCGGGUUGUAAAGCACUUUUAGUGGGGAUGAAAAGCACAUCGCUAAUACCGGUGUGUCUUGACCUAACCCAAAGAAAGAGCACCGGCUAACUCUGUGCCAGCAGCCGCG
This 466-nucleotide ribosomal RNA is filed under the name uncultured soil bacterium. RNAcentral describes it as "bacterial SSU rRNA". It matches the Rfam family "Bacterial small subunit ribosomal RNA", at positions 59 to 519 of the family's 1533-position model. The record is from RNAcentral.